AGCAUCAGUAUAAACUAAAACAGUUAACAUAUGGGCACCAUCAUGAUCCUGACAGCCUAAAAUACAGAAAUACAGCAAAGAAAAUGAAAUUUUGCCACUUGAUUUGCAGAUCUGAAAAGGCUGAUCUAGCCACAUUUUUUGUUCUGCCUUUCUUUCAAAUAGUUCACGGUGAUGUAAGCAGUACUUUCCUCUUUAGAACAAUCCUGGAAGGUUGGUUAGGCUGAGAGAAAGUGACUGGCUGAAAUAUAUCCAUGUGAAUCAGGCCUCUGGCCUACAGAAAGCACAGGAGAACUUGAUGUGAUACACUGGGAAUAAGGAACAGUGUCUAAAACGAAUGUGUCAUUUAUGUCUAAUUAAUAUAUGCAUACAGGCCCCACUGCCAUGCAUUUCCGCCAGUAAGCGCAAAUCAAGACAGCCAAAAACAUAAGGCACUUAUAAAGAAGGAAACAACCCCAGAGUAUGGCCUGGAGGCAAAUGAGGCCAGCAGCUUGCGGAAGCUAAUCAUGUCUGGGUCUGCCUGGAUGUGAGAUUGCCUGGAAGCUGCAUGUAUGCUAUCUUGGGUCCCAUGACCAAAGAACGGAUGGAUACGAGUGCAAAAAAAGAAGAUAAAAUCAGUUUUCUAAAGGAAACAAUUGUCAGGCUUUAGCCAAGCUCAGGGAAAGGUCACAGUUCUGGUGGCCCAGUUCUAAUGCAGGGAGGCUGAGGCCCAAAGAGCAAAAAGCAGGCUGCAAAGUUUAAAACGGGCCCAUGUUUAGGAUCAAGGGUAAGUAGACAAGCAUCCGGGAAGGCUGGAGUGAGCUGGCUGCCAAGAUGAGCAUCAUCCUCUGAUGUCCUAUUACUCCUACUGAGGCGGCGACUUCGAUUUUAUAGGGCCUGGUGGGUUCUGAUUGGCUUCUGUGGGUCAGCUGACAGUAUCCAGGCCACUAGAGGAGCCCAGAAGGCAGCCUUGGUCCACAGAGUUUAGUUGUCUGGCCUGCUGAGGAUUCAGGAUGCUGUUUGUGGAGGAAGACCUGGGGUGUUUUCCAGAAAGGGAGCUGCAUCCAUGUGGCUAACGAGGGCCUUUGUGACAUUAGAGAAGAUCCUGCAUCAAGAGAAAGAUCAAUAGGCUUUGCAAAGAAGAAGGAACAUUGUGAAGGAAAGGGGUAGUGGGAACACAGCAUGGCAGGGGCCAAGCGAAAAAGGAAAAAUGCCAUCUGGAGAAAGAUCCAUGCACUUCGCUACGAAGACUUCAAACUGUGGUGUGUAAGGAGGCUCCCUGUUCUGGAGUGGGCGCCAAACUACAACUGGAAAGCAGACCUGCUUCCUGACACAAUUUCUGGGAUGAUGCUGGCUGUUCAGCAGGUGACUCAAGGGCUUGCCUUUGCUGUUCUCUCUUCAGUGCAUCCUGUGUUUGGCUUAUAUGGAUCUCUCUUCCCUGUUAUUAUUUAUGCCAUAUUUGGAAUGGGACGCCACGUUGCCACAGGAACCUUUGCUUUGACCUCCUUGAUAUCAGCAAAUGCUGUUGAGCGUCUUGUUCCUCCCAUGAGCAGCAACUUCACAGCAAACAAUAACUCCACUGUCUUGGGAUUAUCUGAGUUUGAGAUGCAGAGGAUUGGAGUUGCUGCAGCAGUUUCAUUAUUAGGAGGACUCAUUCAAGUAGCAAUGUUUGUGCUGCACUUGGGCAGUGCCACCUUCUUGCUCACGGAGCCGGUGAUAAGCGCAAUGACGACGGGAGCAGCUACGCACGUCGUGACUUCACAAGUCAAGUACCUCUUGGGAAUGAAAAUGCCGUAUAUAUCGGGACCCCUGGGAUUCUUUUAUAUUUAUGCCUACAUCUUUGAAAACAUCAAGUCCAUUCAGUUGGAAGCUUUGCUGCUCUCUGUGCUGAGCAUUGUGAUUCUCGUUCUUGUUAAAGAACUGAACGAAAAGUUUAAAGGGAAAAUCAAGGUGGUUCUUCCUAUUGAUUUGGUUUUGAUAGUUGCUACCUCUGCUGCCUGCUACUAUGCUGAUAUGAAGCACAGCUAUGGCAUGGAAGUUGUGGGACAUAUUCCAGAAGGCAUACCACUGCCAAGGUCUCCACCCAUGAAUAUCCUCCCUGAAGUCAUCACAGAGGCAUUUGGAGUGGCAUUGGUUGGCUAUGUAGCUUCACUAGCCCUCGCCCAGGCCUCUGCUAAGAAGUUCAACUACUCUGUGGAUGAUAACCAGGAGUUCUUGGCUCAUGGCCUCAGCAAUGUGAUCCCAUCCUUUUUCUUCUGCAUACCCAGUGCAGCAGCCAUGGGCCGUACUGCUCUCCUGUUCAGCACUGGAGCAAAAACACAGGUGGCUUGCCUAAUAUCUUGCAUAUUGGUGCUUGUGGUCAUCUAUGCAGUAGGACCAAUGCUAUACUGGCUGCCCAUGUGCGUUCUAGCAAGUAUCAUUGUGGUGGGGCUGAAGGGGAUGCUGGUGCAGUUCCGUGACUUAAAAAAGUAUUGGAAUGUGGAUAAAAUAGACUGGAGUAUAUGGGUUAGCACUUACAUAUUUACAAUUUGUUUUGCUGCUAAUGUGGGAUUGCUGUACGGCGUAGUCUGCACAAUACUUAUAGUGGUUUUCCGUUUCCCAAGAGCAACGACUCUGAGCCUGAAACAUAUGAAAGAAGUGGAAUGCAGAUUCAAAACAGAAGCAGAUUCUGAGUCCUUACAACCAGUAAAAAUUGUCUCGGUGAAUAACCCACUCGUCUUUCUGAAUGCUAAGAAGUUUCACAUGGACAUAUUAAAAAUAAUCCAGAAGGAAAGCACGUGUGCACAGCAGCUACCUGAAGAUAUGAACAAGUAUGAACAGAACACAUUGCUCAGCCCAUUAUCCAAUGGAAAUUGCCAUGGUGAAUCAUCGUUACAGCAAUGGCCCAGCGAAAGACAUUUCCUAAUACUUGACUGCAGUGGCCUGACUUUCUUUGACUACACUGGCAUCUCUGUGCUUACUCAGAUCUACACGGAAUCUAAAAAAAGAAACAUUGAUGUUUUACUGGCAAAUUGCAAAGGCAAGUAUCAGUUUUUGGUGAGCAUAAAUUUUAAAAAUUAACUUUCCCGGGUGUCGUUCCUCUCUUUUAAAGUGCGCACAUUCCUGUCUUACUACAGCUUCCUUGAUAAAGGCGUUGAAGCUCAGCGGAAAGCUGGAAUCCGAGAAUGCCGUCUUCUUUGAAUCGGUGUCAUCAGCUGUUGGUGCCAUUCAGUUGAACAAGAAUUUCUGCAAGCUUAAUGAACACACUGAGGUCUGAAGCUGACCUGAUAUAGAUAUAUUGAACCGCUUACCUACAGAAAGAACUUUGCCGGUGUUUCGUCAGAUCUUCAAACAUGGGAUUUUGAUGGUGAUAAUUGUAUGCCAAGUCUAUUUAACAAAUCCAACAUCAACAGUGUUUACUGUCAAAACGUUCCUGGAGGUAUCUCUUUGAGUUACCAGCAAUGACAGUUUUUUAAAAAAUAAAAAUAAAAAUGUUAUUUGAUUGCUACAUAUUUUUGUAUGCAUUUAGAUAAAUAAUAAUAAUUAGAAAGCAAUUUAGGACAUUUCAGUAGUGUAUAUUGUUUUGAACUCUGUCCUAUUGUAACUUAGGUGUAUCAUUUUGUGCACAAGAGAAUACAACCUUACUGAAUUUUGUACUGCAGUCGCUGGUAUCUAAUCCCAAGGAUCUACAGCUUGUUACAUGGAAACACAAACUGUGAUGUCCAGAUUAUUUCUUCUUAAAUACGCAGGGCACCCAUUAGAGCAAUCCCACCAUGCCCCUUUCAUAUUCUAUCAAAACCACCAAGGUCACUGGCUAUUUUGAGUGUUACUUAUGUUCUACACUGCCGUAUGUAUCUUCUCAUGAAUUUUAAAAACAUAUUUCCAGUUAUGAACAUAGCCCCUGCUUUCCCUUCCGUUGUGAAAAGGUUUAGCAUUUGUUGUAAAAUUCUCAGGUUUGACCUAUGCUGACAGCUCCAUUGAAUUAAGUAGAAUGGUGCUAAUUUACAGUGGUCAGGGGGGUGGUCUUGUAACAGAGGGUUAUUCUGUGUCACAUUUUACAGGGAAUGGCAUGUGCUCACAUAGGUCUGUAUCUGCAUACAGAGAGGGCCAGUUUGUGGCUCUAGAUCUAAGUGCUCAGACUGAUUUUGCAAUCACAAAGGUGGGGUGGGUGGGUUAGGAUGUAACACUAAACCAUAGUGUAGUGCUACAUGCAUGAGCCUGAGGCUCAUCCUCUCCCUUCUGCACAUUCUCCUUCAAUGUAGCUAUAGCAUCCAUGUGUAUUUUAAGUUAACAGCAGUUUGUCACUUUGGGACAAGUGGUUUUUCAUCCUGGCUUGUUUGGAUAAAACUAAGCACAGUGCUGAGUUUAGACAAAGCAACAAACUCUUGUUAGCUUUAAACAGCCGGUCUCCUUCUCAUGGCCAUACUGAAGAAAGAGAAGGAUGCAGGUUUGUGCAUAGGAUGCUAAAUUAUGUUUUCGUAUUACAUCUAAACAAUGAUCGGGAGAUUCUGCAUAGAUAAGUGGAAAGCAAAAGUGCCAUUGUUUCAAAUAGUUUUUGACUAGCAGUAUUCUGCACAGUUUAUUGAAAGUGUUUCUAACCCAAUGCACAAAAGUCAGACAAAUGUCAUAGAUAUUUAAGUGGGAUUGCAAUCUUUUUUGCUUGCUAAUUACAGAUAAUUCAAGCCACAACCAAGUUUGGGCAAAAACUGGAGGACAUUAAGAAUUGUAUUUCCCCCCUCCCCCCAAUAAUAUUAUUAAUAUCUAAUCAUACAGUUUUAAUUGCUUCAGUUAAUAAAUAAGGAGAUAAAUUUCUCCAUCUGACACAAUGGAUUCUAGUGAUAGGAGGACAAUGGAGAUGUAAAUUACACUGUAUAGAUAGGAGACACAUUGAAAGUGCAGGGUGUGCAAAAUCUGACACUUUUCUCUUGGUGAAUAUUGCAGACUUUCAACAUGUUGGCAUUGCGAGUCUGGGAUCCUAAUCCACAAAAGUGGGUGCGCAGUGUUUGCAAAGCUGAUUUAAAUCAUUGCAUUGUGUUGCAUGCCUCUCAUUAUAUGCAGUUGUACAACUGUGUUCUCUAAGUAGUGCAGAUUGGAAUAAUUCUUGCAUGUCACAUUUCAUAAUUUCCUUAAUUGUGCAUCAUCUGCAUUCAAAAGCCAUAUAAAUUAAGGCAGAUCUGAACCGUUAUUACACAUUGCAUGCACAAUUGGCUUUUCAUAAAACAGAUGUGCAAUGGACACUUGUCUGAAACAGCGAGUACACAAUUUUUGCUUCAGGGGUUGAUAUUCAUGGCAUCUCUAUCAAAGUGGUGAAUUCAUCAUUCUUGCAAAAUUUAUUGUUAUUCUCUCUCCCCACCCCCCC
This is an RNA transcript of Podarcis raffonei (Aeolian wall lizard), 5314 nucleotides long. It is a transcript of the gene named solute carrier family 26 member 7, with no coding region annotated. The record is from RefSeq and is a predicted model, not a curated record. NCBI's taxonomy places the organism in Eukaryota, Metazoa, Chordata, Lepidosauria, Squamata, Lacertidae. The transcript has 19 exons.